CUCGGUGACCAUAGCGGAGGGGCCCCACCCGUUCCCAUUCCGAACACGGAAGUUAAGCCCUCCAGCGCCGAUGGUACUGCCCUUCGCGGGUGGGAGAGUAGGUCGUCGCCGGGC
RNAcentral lists this ribosomal RNA (114 nucleotides) under Spirochaetaceae bacterium. Lineage: Bacteria; Pseudomonadati; Spirochaetota; Spirochaetia; Spirochaetales; Spirochaetaceae. The record is from RNAcentral.